GAACGCUGGCGGCGUGCCUAAUACAUGCAAGUCGAACGAACUCUGGUAUUGAUUGGUGCUUGCAUCAUGAUUUACAUUUGAGUGAGUGGCGAACUGGUGAGUAACACGUGGGAAACCUGCCCAGAAGCGGGGGAUAACACCUGGAAACAGAUGCUAAUACCGCAUAACAACUUGGACCGCAUGGUCCGAGCUUGAAAGAUGGCUUCGGCUAUCACUUUUGGAUGGUCCCGCGGCGUAUUAGCUAGAUGGUGGGGUAACGGCUCACCAUGGCAAUGAUACGUAGCCGACCUGAGAGGGUAAUCGGCCACAUUGGGACUGAGACACGGCCCAAACUCCUACGGGAGGCAGCAGUAGGGAAUCUUCCACAAUGGACGAAAGUCUGAUGGAGCAACGCCGCGUGAGUGAAGAAGGGUUUCGGCUCGUAAAACUCUGUUGUUAAAGAAGAACAUAUCUGAGAGUAACUGUUCAGGUAUUGACGGUAUUUAACCAGAAAGCCACGGCUAACUACGUGCCAGCAGCCGCGGUAAUACGUAGGUGGCAAGCGUUGUCCGGAUUUAUUGGGCGUAAAGCGAGCGCAGGCGGUUUUUUAAGUCUGAUGUGAAAGCCUUCGGCUCAACCGAAGAAGUGCAUCGGAAACUGGGAAACUUGAGUGCAGAAGAGGACAGUGGAACUCCAUGUGUAGCGGUGAAAUGCGUAGAUAUAUGGAAGAACACCAGUGGCGAAGGCGGCUGUCUGGUCUGUAACUGACGCUGAGGCUCGAAAGUAUGGGUAGCAAACAGGAUUAGAUACCCUGGUAGUCCAUACCGUAAACGAUGAAUGCUAAGUGUUGGAGGGUUUCCGCCCUUCAGUGCUGCAGCUAACGCAUUAAGCAUUCCGCCUGGGGAGUACGGCCGCAAGGCUGAAACUCAAAGGAAUUGACGGGGGCCCGCACAAGCGGUGGAGCAUGUGGUUUAAUUCGAAGCUACGCGAAGAACCUUACCAGGUCUUGACAUACUAUGCAAAUCUAAGAGAUUAGACGUUCCCUUCGGGGACAUGGAUACAGGUGGUGCAUGGUUGUCGUCAGCUCGUGUCGUGAGAUGUUGGGUUAAGUCCCGCAACGAGCGCAACCCUUAUUAUCAGUUGCCAGCAUUAAGUUGGGCACUCUGGUGAGACUGCCGGUGACAAACCGGAGGAAGGUGGGGAUGACGUCAAAUCAUCAUGCCCCUUAUGACCUGGGCUACACACGUGCUACAAUGGAUGGUACAACGAGUUGCGAACUCGCGAGAGUAAGCUAAUCUCUUAAAGCCAUUCUCAGUUCGGAUUGUAGGCUGCAACUCGCCUACAUGAAGUCGGAAUCGCUAGUAAUCGCGGAUCAGCAUGCCGCGGUGAAUACGUUCCCGGGCCUUGUACACACCGCCCGUCACACCAUGAGAGUUUGUAACACCCAAAGUCGGUGGGGUAACCUUUUAGGAACCAGCCGCCUAAGGUGGGACAGAUGAUUAGG
This 1483-nucleotide ribosomal RNA is filed under the name Lactiplantibacillus plantarum. RNAcentral describes it as "bacterial SSU rRNA". It matches the Rfam family "Bacterial small subunit ribosomal RNA". The record is from RNAcentral. Lineage: Bacteria; Bacillati; Bacillota; Bacilli; Lactobacillales; Lactobacillaceae.